AGAGUUUGAUCCUGGCUCAGGACGAACGCUGGCGGCGUGCUUAAUACAUGCAAGUCGAGCGAGGUUACUGUUUUGGAUCCCUUCGGGGUGAAGAAGCUUUAACCUAGCGGCGGACGGGUGAGUAACGCGUGGGUAACCUACCCCAAAGUCCGGGAUAACAGCGGGAAACCGCUGCUAAUGCCGGAUGCCUUUACCUUGGGGCAUCUUGAGGUAAAGAAAGGUAACGCUUUGGGAUGGGCCCGCGUCCCAUUAGCUAGUUGGUGAGGUAACGGCUCACCAAGGCGACGAUGGGUAGCCGGCCUGAGAGGGUGGACGGCCACACUGGGACUGAGACACGGCCCAGACUCCUACGGGAGGCAGCAGUAGGGAAUAUUGCGCAAUGGACGGAAGUCUGACGCAGCGACGCCGCGUGAGCGAUGAAGGUCUUCGGAUCGUAAAGCUCUGUCCUUGGGGAAGAAGGCGAAAGCUUGACGGUACCCAAGAAGAAAGCCCCGGCUAACUACGUGCCAGCAGCCGCGGUGAU
Molecule: ribosomal RNA, 523 nt
Filed under: uncultured bacterium
Lineage: Bacteria
Description: bacterial SSU rRNA
Rfam family: Bacterial small subunit ribosomal RNA
Source: RNAcentral